This 1035-nucleotide long non-coding RNA is filed under the name Betta splendens (Siamese fighting fish). RNAcentral describes it as "lncRNA (ENSBSLG00000023340.1)". The record is from RNAcentral. Lineage: Eukaryota; Metazoa; Chordata; Actinopteri; Anabantiformes; Osphronemidae.
GUAUCACAGCGGUAGACCCAUAAAUGGGUCACAAACUAGCCCAGGGCUAGCUUUAAUGCUAACUACAUGCUAUGGGCUGGAUAAGGUUAAGCUAUUACCUUUUAUUGGAUUAGUGUCCGUUUGAACUAAAGAUUCAUUCCUUUUUUUUUAAUUUGCUCCAUCUCCUCAUCCCCAGACGUUAGGUUGUAUCUGAUAAUGGAUUAUCACAGCAACUCCAUGGAGUACAAUUAUUAUCGUCAGCCAGAAUACUUGGUAAUGGAGUAUGAGCAUUUUCUCAGAGAGGUAAAGUGGUUGCUGUGGGCAAUCGGUAUCAUCAGCCUCCCGUUGAACGGAGCGGUCAUCUUCGCUACGUUUUCUCAGGUGCAGAGGGGCGUGACUCGGAUCUACGUCAUGAACCUUCUGGUCUCUGACCUCCUGCAGCUCUGCUCUACGGCGGCUCCAUCCACAAGCGAUUAUGGGGCUUUCAUCUCCUACGAAUUCUGCUAUUUAGGUCUGAUGGCCAGCGUUGGCUUCAGGACGUUCCUCGCUUUGGAAAGGUGUUCAGUGGUCUUGUGCCCACGAGGCUCCUGCUUCAGACAGUCUAUUAAAGUCUGUGCAGUGGUUUCCCUCUUUCUGUGGUUGGUUCCUCUUUGCAUCUUCCUCUUUGAUGUGUUUAGACAAGAUACAAUUGUCCAUCUCAUCUACCUCUUCCUUCCAUGUCCCUUCCUCAUCUCCACUCUUGUUAUAUCCCUUAGAUCUCUGUGUGUAAACAGCAGCGUUAAUCUCAGUCUAAAGCUCAGAGUCGUGGGCAGUGUGGUUCUGCUGGUGCUUGUUCACAUGUUGCUUAUUAUUCCCUCUCUGAUUGUAUGGCUGUCAGGAGGUACAGGAAGCUAUAUACUGGAUCAUGUGCCAGAUGUUAUUCUCAAGCUGGUUCCACUUGCAGACCUGUUUCUGUAUUUCUUUCUGACUAAAAGAGACACAGACAAUAACUUAGGUAACAGUGUGAACAGGUCAGUGAUGAACGAUGAGAGCAGCCACAUCAACAGCUCUGUGUAG